This 1499-nucleotide ribosomal RNA is filed under the name uncultured Bordetella sp. RNAcentral describes it as "partial 16S-23S ribosomal RNA intergenic spacer". It matches the Rfam family "Bacterial small subunit ribosomal RNA". The record is from RNAcentral. Lineage: Bacteria; Pseudomonadati; Pseudomonadota; Betaproteobacteria; Burkholderiales; Alcaligenaceae.
GGUUCGAUUAUGGCUCAGAUUGAACGCUGGCAGGAUGCUUUUUACAUGCAAGUCGAACGGCAGCACGGACUUCGGUCUGGUGGCGAGUGGUGAACGGGUGAGUAAUGUACUGGAACGUGCCUAGCAAGUGGGGAUAACUACGCGAAAAGCGUAGCUAAUACCGCAUACGCCCUUCGGGGGAAAGCGGGGGACCUUCGGGCCUCGCACUAUUAGAGCGGCUGAUAUCGGAUUAGCUAGUUGGUGGGGUAACGGCUCACUAAGGCGACGAUCCGUAGCUGGUUUGAGAGGACGACCAGCCACACUGGGACUGAGACACGGCCCAGACUCCUACGGAGGCAGUAGUGGGGAAUUUUGGACAAUGGGGGGAAACCGAUCCAGCCAUUCCGCGUGUGCGAUGAAGGCCUUCGGGUUGUAAAGCACUUUUGGCAGGAAAGAAACGGCACGGGAUAAUACCCGUGCAACUGACGGUACCUGCAGAAUAAGCACCACACCAUGCCAGCAGCCGCGGUAAUACGUAGGGUGCAAGCGUUAAUCGGAAUUACUGGGCGUAAGCGUGCAGGCGGUUCGGAAAGAAAGAUGCGAAAUCCCAGAGCUUAACUUUGGAACUGCAUUUUUAACUACCGAGUUAGAGUGUGUCAGAGGGAGGUGGAAUUCCGUGUGAAAGAGCAAGAAAUGCGUAGGAUAUGCGGAGGAACACCGAUGGCGAAGGCAGCCUCCUCCGCACACUGACGCUCAUGCACGAAAGCGUGGGGAGCAAACAGGAUUAGAUACUCCUGGUAGUCCACGCCCUAAACGAUGUCAACUAGCUGUUGGGGCCUUCGGGCUCAGCGCAGCGCUAACGCGUGAAGUUGACCGCCUGGGGAGUACGUAAUGGUCGCAAGAUUAAAACUCAAAGGAAUUGACGGGGACCUGCACAAGCGGUGGAUGAUGUGGAUUAAUUCCGGGAUGCAACGCGAAAACCUACCAUACCUGAUAUGUCUGGAAUCCCGGAAGAGAUUUGGGUGGGAGUGCUCGCAAGAGAACCGGAAACACAGGUGCUGCAUGGCUGUCGUCAGCUCGUGUCGUGAGAUGUUGGGUUAAGUCCUGGCAACGAGCGCAACCCUUGUCAUUAGUUGCUACGAAAGGGCACUCUAAUGAGACUGCCGGUGACAAACCGGAGGAAGGUGGGGAUGACGUCAAGUCCUCAUGGCCCCUUAUGGGUAGGGCUUCACAUCGUCAUACAACAUGGUCGGGACAGAGGGUCGCCAACUCCGCGAGGGGAGCCAAUCCUAGAAACCCGAUCGUAGUCCGGAUCGCAGUCUGCAACUCCUGGACUGCGGAAGUCGGAAUCGCUAGUAAUCGCGGAUCAGCAUGUCGCGGUGAAUACGUUCCGGGUCUUGUACACACCGCCUGUCAUGCUCAUGGGAGUGGGUUUUACCAGAAGUAGUUAGCCUAACCGUAAGGAGGAGGCGAUUACCACGGGUAGGAUUCAUGACUGGGGUGAAGUCGUAACAAGGUAA